GUGUCUUGUACAAACUUGGUUUUUCAAUCCUGUUCUGAAUUUAUUGAGUCAGGGCUUCUUUUCCUGCUUCAUGUUCCCCUGUAACCUAGCCAGCAAACGCGAGAUUGUUGGGUCAGCUACCUCCAAGGUUCUAUCUAGAAGAGCAUCCUCGACAAACUUAUGCAGAUCCAAUGAAUCUAUGAACCUGUCAUCUGUUGGGCGCCUUCCGGUGAACAUCUCAAGCAGCAAUAUGCCAAGACUAUAAAUAUCACCACAUUUUCAAAGGUGUUAUCCACCCGUCAACAAUGGCUGCUAAAUAAGGAUAAUGCCAAUCGGCAUGGCAGUUGGUGAGAUGGUUUUCGUCGGUAAGUGUAGACAAAUAUGAUAAGAUGGUACUCUUGCGUCCACCUGGGUUGUUCCUUCAGAAUACUAUCAAGGGAAAAGCUCAACGUUUCUGCUUUGAAGCGGCGUCCAUUUCUGCAUGAUUACAAUGGGGUUGAACAGAACAGCAGUAACCUCAUGCCUUGACGACCAUUCCUAGUGCCCUCCAGAUUUUCUGGUAUCAAGAGAUAUAUGGAGGAAAUGACUGUAUUAUAUUUACAAAAAUACUUCCAAAACCAUAAGGUGGAGUAAAGUUUGAUCAGGUGUUGUCCACGAUUGAUUUAAAGCCAAACCAUCAAUAAAAUGGUGGUUUGCUGUGAAAUGCUUACACACAGAUUGGCCUUAUACCCAACAUCUAAUUUAGUUGCCUGUUUUUCAAAUAUUCUCUGUCAUGGCAUGGCUUGCAAAUUAAAACGUCAGAUUUAAAAUAUGAUAUUCAGAACAAAUCCUUUUUCAGUUUAUGUGAACAACCCUGUAUACAUGUUCAAUUGGAAAACCAAGAUUAACCAUUUUCUCAGCUUACUCUGGGA
This is a long non-coding RNA of Triticum dicoccoides, 890 nucleotides long. RefSeq lists it as uncharacterized. The record is from RefSeq and is a predicted model, not a curated record. Lineage: Eukaryota; Viridiplantae; Streptophyta; Magnoliopsida; Poales; Poaceae. The transcript is spliced from 6 exons.